This 720-nucleotide ribosomal RNA is filed under the name Planomicrobium sp. RNAcentral's name for it is "bacterial SSU rRNA". It matches the Rfam family "Bacterial small subunit ribosomal RNA", at positions 66 to 770 of the family's 1533-position model. The record is from RNAcentral. Lineage: Bacteria; Bacillati; Bacillota; Bacilli; Caryophanales; Caryophanaceae.
GCGGAAGUUGAAGAGCUUGCUCUUCAACUUUAGCGGCGGACGGGUGAGUAACACGUGGGCAACCUGCCCUGCAGAUCGGGAUAACUCCGGGAAACCGGUGCUAAUACCGAAUAGUUUUGGGUCCCUCCUGGGGUUAUACGGAAAGACGGUUUCGGCUGUCACUGCAGGAUGGGCCCGCGGCGCAUUAGCUAGUUGGUGGGGUAAUGGCCCACCAAGGCGACGAUGCGUAGCCGACCUGAGAGGGUGAUCGGCCACACUGGGACUGAGACACGGCCCAGACUCCUACGGGAGGCAGCAGUAGGGAAUCUUCCGCAAUGGACGAAAGUCUGACGGAGCAACGCCGCGUGAGUGACGAAGGUUUUCGGAUCGUAAAACUCUGUUGUGAGGGAAGAACAAGUACCACGUAACUACUGGUACCUUGACGGUACCUCACCAGAAAGCCACGGCUAACUACGUGCCAGCAGCCGCGGUAAUACGUAGGUGGCAAGCGUUGUCCGGAAUUAUUGGGCGUAAAGCGCGCGCAGGCGGUCCCUUAAGUCUGAUGUGAAAGCCCACGGCUCAACCGUGGAGGGUCAUUGGAAACUGGGGGACUUGAGUGCAGAAGAGGAAAGUGGAAUUCCACGUGUAGCGGUGAAAUGCGUAGAGAUGUGGAGGAACACCAGUGGCGAAGGCGACUUUCUGGUCUGUAACUGACGCUGAGGCGCGAAAGCGUGGGGAGCA